This 1172-nucleotide long non-coding RNA is filed under the name Panax ginseng (ginseng). Its description in RNAcentral is "long non-coding RNA (PGIN_LNC009588)". The record is from RNAcentral. Lineage: Eukaryota; Viridiplantae; Streptophyta; Magnoliopsida; Apiales; Araliaceae.
UACCGCAACUUUAACGAAUUCUCCGUACAUUUCUUGGAACGUCAUAUGUUUGGUAUCAUCGUAGUACGGAUCAAUUAUCGUAACCAUCCAAUCUUGAACUCCAAAUAGUAAUAAGACAAAAUGUCUUUGAUGGGUACUACACACCGGCAUGAAUAUGUAUUGGCAUUCGUGUAAUGGUGGGCCAACAUCUUGGUUCACAUACGGAUUGCAAAAACAUAAUGUAUCAAUCUCUUUAGUUAUGGGCACAUAGCUCUGUCCUAGAUGCAUGAAGAAUGAAUUCAGAAAACCAAAUUUGGCCCACCUUUUUAUUCUCCGUGACCUGUAGUAUUCCUCUCUGUCUCGUAGCAACAACAUAUAAGCAUCGAGGACAUGUUCGAAAAUCCAUCCACCAGGUCCUAAGGAAUGCAAUGCAUUGUGUUCUAAAACAUAUAACCCACGUGGAUGUGACAAAGGAUAUAAAUUCUCUUCCGAGGCCACCACGUUUCCAAACAUAUGUUUAUUGAUAAAUGUAUCCUUCCAAUCUUUCAGCUUUUUGGUAAUGGACCCUUUUGGUCCAUAAGAGAUGUGAUCUACCGCAUUUUGUACUUAAUUGAGACCGAAGUGUACAUUAUUAGUAUUGUGCAUGUCAUUUUUAGUUAAAAAUAUGAAUAUAAAUAAUGCAAAGCCUGCUUUAAUUAAAACCGUCAUUAUAUAUACCUUUGGUUCACAAUCUCCUGUGACGUUAGAAAGUCCCGCAAAAUCUAAGGUGGUUGGAAUGUAACACUCCUCAUAGGCUUGGGAGGUCGGGACGUAACACUCCUCAUAGGCUUUGGAGGUCAGAAUGUAACCCUCCUCGUAGGCUUGGGAGGUCGGAAUGUAACACUCCUCGUAGGCUUGGGAGGUGGGAAUGGAGCUCUCCUGCCAUGCUUGUGUGGUGGGUAUGUAGCUCUCUUGUACAACAUCCUCAGUUUGUUUCCCAAGCGGUUCAUUGAAUUGGGAGAAUUCGGACUGUGGUGCAAAAAUUAUGGGACCCAUCUGUGGAGGUAUUUGUAUCCCUCUUGCUUCGAAGUCGUAUAGACUGUAUUGGUGAUCCCAAUUAUGUUUUUGCAGAAUCAACUCGGGAGGCAGCUGAGUAAGUGCUGAAAAUUUAUCAAGCAAAGACUUUGCACUCUCAACCUGUCAUGUAAGAUGAA